ACGGGAGGCAGCAGUGGGGAAUAUUGCACAAUGGGCGCAAGACUGAUGCAGCGAUGCCGCGUGAGGGAAGAAGGUUUUCGGAUUGUAAACCUCUGUCAUCGGGGACGAUAAUGACUGUACCCGAGAAGGAAGCUCCGGCUAACUACGUGCCAGCAGCCGCGGUAAUACGUAGGGAGCGAGCGUUAUCCGGAAUUACUGGGUGUAAAGGGAGUGUAGGCGGGACUGUAAGUCAGGUGUGAAAUAUACCGGCUCAACUGGUAGACUGCAUUUGAAACUGCGGUUCUUGAGUGAAGUAGAGGUAAGCGUAAUUCCUAGUGUAGCGGUGAAAUGCGUAGAUAUUAGGAGGAACAUCAGUGGCGAAGGCGGCUUACUGGGCUUUAACUAACGCUGAGGCUCGAAAGCGUGUGGAGCAAACAGGAUUAGAUACCCUGGUA
This 434-nucleotide ribosomal RNA is filed under the name uncultured Ruminococcus sp. RNAcentral's name for it is "partial 16S ribosomal RNA". It matches the Rfam family "Bacterial small subunit ribosomal RNA", at positions 341 to 792 of the family's 1533-position model. Lineage: Bacteria; Bacillati; Bacillota; Clostridia; Eubacteriales; Oscillospiraceae. The record is from RNAcentral.